Molecule: ribosomal RNA, 253 nt
Filed under: uncultured bacterium
Lineage: Bacteria
Description: partial 16S ribosomal RNA
Rfam family: Bacterial small subunit ribosomal RNA
Source: RNAcentral
UACAGAGGAGCCAAGCGUUGUCCGGAUUGACUGGGCGUAAAGCGCACGCAGGCGGUCUUGCGCGUGGGGUGUGAAAUCUGGCCGCUUAACGGCCAGGCGCCAUCCCAUACGGCACGACUGGAGUGAUGCAGAGGUCGAUGGAAUUGCCGGUGUAGUGGUGAAAUGCGUAGAGAUCGGCAGGAACACCCAGGGGGAAACCAGUCGACUGGGCAUCUACUGACGCUGAGGUGCGAAAGCUAGGGGAGCGAACGGG